RNAcentral lists this unclassified non-coding RNA (2195 nucleotides) under Cimex lectularius (bed bug). Its description in RNAcentral is "uncharacterized LOC106672075, transcript variant X6". The record is from RNAcentral. Lineage: Eukaryota; Metazoa; Arthropoda; Insecta; Hemiptera; Cimicidae.
GAUAAAUUGGGAUUUUUGUGCGUUCAUCGAAAUUUUUAAUUUUACAUAAUCGAAGAGUUCUUGUUAAGGAUGAAGAAAAUUAGCAACGUGAGGAGAAAAUAGGCAUGUUAUGUUUAUUCGCUUUUCCGAUUAUUACUUUUUCCAGUGUUGAGAAGUCAAGCAUUUGUGUGAUGUUUAAUUUUUGAAAGAAGCUAAGUUUAACUUUGUAACCACAACGUAUUACCGGCGUCCCGAUCGCGAUUAAUGUAUCAUCGCAUAUCAACGGUGCUCCUUGAUCUUUACUGCACAACACCCCUUUCUAUACUUUUUUCUUUUUAACACCACUAACACAUAACAUGUUCGUCAUUUCAAAAGUGGAAUUUAACAACUUUUUAUAAAGUCUCUGGAAACAUUUGCUGUAUGAGAAAAAUUGAACAUUCAUUUUGCCAAUAAUUGAGGAGGAUUUCGUUUCUGCUGAAAUACUUAGGUUGUACCUCCUUGCUCCCCAGCCGUAGGUGGUACAGGAUUUAUUCCCGCCCUCUGCAAAAUGUUCGUUCUCAUAAAGUGCGUUGUACAGCACAUCGUACUUGAUCUGUGAUUUCGGAAAGUGCACGACAUUUAAAAACUUGCUUUCCUCGAAUGGCCAUUGCAGGUCGAUGUAGUCCCGGUUUUAUUCCAUGUUUUCAUUUCAGGAGAAUAACGGCAUAUUGAAUCACGAUAAAAUUGAGAAACCACUCUGGAGUCACUCAUCUUUGCCACUGCUAAGUCUGAUGUUCCUGCCACGACCAUGUAUAACUGCGGUGCGCAAAUAGGAACCUCUUUACUUUUUCUUCGAAUAUGUAUGAAGCAACUAAAGCUCGAUAUAAGCGUUCUCAACGUAAUAAGAGUCGCCAUGCACAAGUGCUCUUUUUUACUUAUCCUUUGAACGCUAGCAACGUAUAUCGCUGUAAAAUUGGUUUUCUCCAAUUGGGCUGCCACGAUGCGCUUCUUGCGAAAUAAAGAAGAUUUUUCGUGUGAACUCACCAUUGCUAGGACGAAACUGGUCUCUACGCUUUUCUCCUGCUUCUCCUAAACGAUUGAAAAAUAAAAAAGUAUACAACCACGAUGGGUCGAAAACUGCCUUGAUUCUAUAUGAGGUAAUGAGAUGAGUAAGGAGUGGCAAGAAGAUCGACAGGAUCAGCCCUCACCGUCCCGAACUCAAAGCCUUCUCAUUCUACUACUCGUUGUAUGUCAAAAUUUAUUAUCAGUCCAGUUUCGUCCUAUGUCGGAAGCGGAAGAAAUGCGUCAAGACCGUAAUACUUUGAAUGGUACGUUUAAAUUGGAAAAAAAUACAAUUUAUUCCGCGUUGGAUCGCAGAAAGCGUUUUGCGGUUCCUAGGAGUUUACCGACAAACAGUGAAGCGAGAUUUGUGGCCAGCGUUCAAAGGAUAAGUGACAACGAGCAUUUGCGGCUCGAAGGAAAAUCCCAUGUUUCAUCCGGAGUUGUACAAAGUUAUAGCGGGAUCGAUCGACUUGGAAAACUUGCGUUUCAUUAAUACCAGGUUCAUAUAUAAACUUUACCGUGAUCCUCGGUGCUUCGUUUUUAAAGAAUAUAACACCUGGACAAACAACCUAGGCUACAUCGAGUUACGAUCGCCUUUUCACAACAGCUUCUUUUUGGGAUUCGUGUCUUAUUCAAUAUCGGAACCCAAAUAUAUUCAUCACCUUUACAAAUAUUUCGGCAAUCAGGACUACGAUGAAGGCGGUAGUUCUUUCUGCGCCACUUACGGAUGGGGAGACAAGACGUCUAAAGCAAACGGUACGACAGAGGAUACCCACUCCAAGACUUUGCAGAAGGCACGUAUUCAGUUCCUCAAAUCAAGUGAUUGCUUAAGCAAAUUCUGGCGUUCUGAGGAAUUAAGUGAUCAUUUCUCCUUCGAAUUUCAAGAUAUAAUUUGCGCUGUUUGCACUGCGGAGGAUUUCCAAUGGAAGGAUAGAGGAAUACCGUUAAUCUGUGGUGGAAAAUUACUCGGCAUCGGUACGGUUGCAACUAACAAUGCUAAUUUGAUUUUUUUCCAAAAAUUACAGAUCUACCAAAUCCUCGCUUUCACCUCAAUAGAAACAGGGGAUUCAAAUGCAAGUGAAAGUUAUAAUAAAUCGUGUCUUAUCUGUCAUAGUAUAAUAAUCUUCAUCUUUAUCAAGCCCUAUAUAAUAAUUAAAUUUUUUUUUUUCAAUUAA